This 912-nucleotide ribosomal RNA is filed under the name uncultured archaeon. RNAcentral's name for it is "bacterial SSU rRNA". It matches the Rfam family "Archaeal small subunit ribosomal RNA", at positions 4 to 922 of the family's 1478-position model. The record is from RNAcentral.
CCGGUUGAUCCUGCCGGAGGCUACCGCUAUUGGAGUUCGAUUAAGCCAUGCGAGUCGCGAGUCUUAGGGACUCGGCGUACCGCUCAGUAACACGUGGGUAACCUGCCCUAUGCUGGGGGAUAACCUCGGGAAACUGAGAAUAAUACCCCAUAGUUCACCACGCCUGGAACGGUUGGUGGACCAAAGCUCCGGCGGCAUAGGAUGGGCCUGCGGCGUAUCAGGUUGUAGGGGGUGUAAUGUACCCUCUAGCCCUCUACGCGUACGGGUGUUGAGAGACAUCGCCCGGAGAUGGAUUCUGAGACACGAAUCCAGACCCUACGGGGUGCAGCAGGCGCGAAAACUUGGCAAUGCGAGAAAUCGUGACCAGGGAACUCCAAGUGCAUCGGGUAAGACCGAUGCUUUUCUUGACUCUUCAAAGGUCUUGGAAUAAGGGGUGGGUAAGGACGGUGCCAGCCGCCGCGGUAAUACCGGCGCCCCAAGUGGUAGUCGCUUUUAUUGGGCCUAAAACGUCCGUAGCCGGUCUGGUACAUUCGUGGGUAAAUCAACCAGCUCAACUGGUUGAAUUCUGCGAGCACGGCCAGACUUGGGACCGGGAGAGGUGUGGGGUACUCUCAGGGUAGGGGUAAAAUCCUGUCAUCCUGAGAGGACCACCUGUUGCGAAGGCGCCACACUAGAACGGAUCCGACGGUCAGGGACGAAGCCUAGGGGCACGAACCGGAUUAGAUACCCGGGUAGUCCUAGGUGUAAACGCUGUGGACUUGAUGUUGGGGGCGCUCCGAGCGCACUCAGUGUCGAAGCGAAGGUGAUAAGUCCACUGCCUGGGGAGUACGGUCGCAAGGCUGAAACUUAAAGGAAUUGGCGGGGGAGCACCGCAACCUGAGGAUUGUGCGGUUUAAUUGGAUCAACGCCGGG